RNAcentral lists this unclassified non-coding RNA (362 nucleotides) under uncultured bacterium. RNAcentral's name for it is "contains 16S-23S intergenic spacer region". The record is from RNAcentral.
UCCCCGUUACCGAGGCAGUCUGAUUAGAAAAAUCCAACUAAUCAUAAGGGUUGCGCUCGUUGAUGGACUUAACCAAACAUCUCACGACACGAGCUGACGACGGCCAUGCAACACCUGUCACUGCGGCCCGAAGGCACAAUUUCCUUUCGGAAAUCUUGGCAGGAUGUCAAGCCUGGGUAAGGUUCUUCGCUUACCAUCGAAUUAAACAACACGCUCCACCGCUUGUGCGGGUCCCCGUCAAUUCCUUUGAGUUUUAAUCUUGCGACCGUACUCCCCAGGCGGCUUGCUUAACGCGUUAGCUUCGCUACUACUCGGGUCGAUACGAAUAACAGCUAGCAAGCAUCGUUUACGGCGUGGACUAC